This 529-nucleotide ribosomal RNA is filed under the name uncultured bacterium. Its description in RNAcentral is "partial 16S ribosomal RNA". It matches the Rfam family "Bacterial small subunit ribosomal RNA", at positions 355 to 900 of the family's 1533-position model. The record is from RNAcentral.
UGGGGAAUAUUGCACAAUGGGCGAAAGCCUGAUGCAGCAACGCCGCGUGAGUGAUGAAGGUCUUCGGAUUGUAAAGCUCUGUCUUUUGGGAUGAUAAUGACGGUACCAAAGGAGGAAGCCACGGCUAACUACGUGCCAGCAGCCGCGGUAAUACGUAGGUGGCGAGCGUUGUCCGGAUUUACUGGGCGUAAAGGGUGCGUAGGCGGAUGUUUAAGUGAGAUGUGAAAUACCCGGGCUUAACUUGGGUGCUGCAUUUCAAACUGGAUAUCUAGAGUGCAGGAGAGGAGAAUGGAAUUCCUAGUGUAGCGGUGAAAUGCGUAGAGAUUAGGAAGAACACCAGUGGCGAAGGCGAUUCUCUGGACUGUAACUGACGCUGAGGCACGAAAGCGUGGGUAGCAAACAGGAUUAGAUACCCUGGUAGUCCACGCCGUAAACGAUGAGUACUAGGUGUAGGAGGUAUCGACCCCUUCUGUGCCGCAGUAAACACAUUAAGUACUCCGCCUGGGAAGUACGAUCGCAAGAUUAAAAC